UUAGAAGACUGAGAUGAGCCCGACUGC
RNAcentral lists this non-coding RNA (27 nucleotides) under Rattus norvegicus (Norway rat). Lineage: Eukaryota; Metazoa; Chordata; Mammalia; Rodentia; Muridae. The record is from RNAcentral.